This is a non-coding RNA of Aegilops tauschii subsp. strangulata, 3770 nucleotides long. The record is from RefSeq and is a predicted model, not a curated record. Lineage: Eukaryota; Viridiplantae; Streptophyta; Magnoliopsida; Poales; Poaceae.
AUGACCGCCGCUUCUCCCUGUUCCCUUCCCUCCCCGCACUUCCCGUCGCUGCCGCCAAUCCACCACCGCCCACCGCCCACCGCCCACCGCCCUCGAGAGGGAAAAGCCUCGGCCCGUCCACCGACGCAGCAUUCCACACCAAAAGCCCAGGUAAAUUGGCUUCGUCUCCCCGCUCUGCGGCGAUGGAGGAAGGAGGAGGUGCAGAGCACCGCGAAUUCCAUCGCCACAGCCUCGCGCAGCCGCGUCGUCCUUCUCCGGCAUCGCGCGAUCCCUAGCAGACAGAUUAGUCAACAAAGAAAAAUUAAGUGGUGGAGAUCUUCCUAAAAUGAAAUCAAGACGAUGAGAUAAGAAUGGAGAUUUAAUGUGGUUUGUUGGAGAUGCCAAAGGUAGGAGAUGAAGGACAGUUGGAAGGGGAUAAUGGAGGACAAUUAUAGCGUCACUAGAGCCUGGGGCGGAGAGGUAGGGGCUGUCUGUGCAGGUUUGCAGUGCAGCUGGGCCAAACAUCGCUUACAGUUUAAGCUGUAGGCUGUUAUAAAGUAAAAGCUGCGGAGGUACAGUUUCGGCCACUGUGUGCAGGAAGAUGAGAAGUCAAGCAGUAGCAAUUGGCGCAUGUAGGUUCCACGGGGCACUCAGCGAGAUUCAAUCUUCACGUGACAUUUAGGCCGACCUUUUAUUAUGGAUCGCUGGGGGGAAGAAUCGUAAAAGUUUCAGGUGUCAACAAAUUGUGUCGCUGCGGAAAAGAGGGAUCAGACCAAAGCAGUGGCCUUGGUAGGGCAAGGUAUUAUCCUCGAGGACACUAAGGUUCAUGCCCAAGCAUCCAUAUUUUAAUGGUUUAGUCGGGAUAUUUUCUGAGUUGACAUUUGCAUCUCCCAGAGGGAAGACCAGGGCGUAGGCAUGCCACCUUUCGCGGCCGUGGGGGGUUGAAAAUGGCUGCUCCUAUUGGAUGAUGGGAAAAGGCACCACAAGAUAACGUCUUGGGGCCUACCGCCGGCGACCACAUCGCAUCGGGGCAUGCCUUGGGGUACCACACGCACUGAUGACUGCCAGUAAUCACUAAGCAGUGCAUUAAGGAUGUAACAUCAGCUCAUUAAUUAAGCCACUGAAUGUCUCUAGUCGCCGGGAUUCAUAGAAGAGGGAGUAUAUUCGUCAACUUGAAGAGGGAGGGGAUGAGAAGUGACCUUGCUUCCUUUAAAUCUUGUCAUGAGUGACGGUCAAUGCCGGCAGUGUAUAAUAUACAAAACAGAUAGGGGGCAGCAAAAACCAUAGACAGCGGAGGGACCAUCCUGGAUGGUUUCAUGGAUGCUGGACAGUUGCAGAUAAGUAUCCUUUUAUUCUAUGGUAUACACGAUAGCCAGCCAGGAGAUCAUGAGAUCAAACCAGAUACUCUUGGCUGUGUGAAUUCGUUGGCGGAAAGUAGCUUGAUUUAUCCAGAUUUAAUUCCCAAUAGACAAAAAAAAGAAAGAAAGAAAAUGGACUAAAAACAUAAAAUUAUAGGGCCUCGUUUGAGAUACUAGCUAGAGUAUUGCCAUACUAUGAACAGUGCUAGGUUUAAUUCCGUUUUGGGUGGGAUAUUUGUACUAUGUACGACUGCCAAAAGAAUAUAAUAUUAUCGACAAUUAAGUAAAUAUGCGUACUGUGGUGUCAACUGUUGCUGAUUGGAACUACUACUUGGCAGCAGCAGCAUGGGUACUACUCCCGGUACUACUUAAAACCAUGGGAGGGCUCAGCACUGGAGUACGGCGGUCGCUCACCGGAUCCAAGAAGAAAAAAUCUCUCCCAUUUCCUGUUGCGUCCGGAGGUUUUGUUUGGGUUUCCUUUCGGAUUUUUGGGUUGUUUGCUGCUUUUGUGUCGGAAGUUGUUCUUCGGUUGUGCAAUCUGUGAAGUAAUGUUAGCUCCUGGUGUGGGGAGGCCCUCGAGAGAUUGACAGAAGAGAGUGAGCACAUGGCGUGAUGCCGGCAUAACAUGUAUGCCGUCUUCGCCGCGUGCUCACUCCUCUUUCUGUCAGCCUCUUUCUCUCAGGAGUUUACGUUACAUUCAGAUCCACUGGUGGGUAUGUAGAACUAAUUUGAUUCAAUUUCAAUUCAAUAGUUCAUAAUUUUCCACACAAAAAAGAAGGUUAACCCCUGCUUAUGAGAGGAACUCAGCCACAAAAGAAAGACAGAACACGCAUGCGGCAUGUACUCUGGCUGUUCUCCGACUUUACCAUGCCACUUCCUUAUCUCUUUAGAUGUGUGCGCACGCAAAAAAAUAAAAUAAAAUAAAUUGCUCUGUUGUUUUGAUCUUUUCAGUCAAGUUGCUCCUGGGAACUACUACCGAGGAGAGUGAUACGGAUGCUAGUGGUAAUUGUAAGGAGUGGCAGCUGUAGGCUUGUAGUACUGGAAUAAAUGAUUGGAUUUGUUACUUGUUUUUUUCAUCCCCAAAUUGUUUUAUCUUCUCCCUUUGCAGUUGUACUCGCCUUGGGAGCUGAAUCAUGGAGAUGCUGCCGGUACACUGCAACAUGCACCAGCUCUCUCUCUCUCUCUCUCUCUCUCUCUCUCUCUCUCUCACCCCAACAACCCCCCCCCCCCCCCCCCUUCUUCUUUCCUGUUGCCUUGUUUUCCAUGGAAGCAGGUUUUAGCCAUGGUGGUGGGGCUUCAGCAAGUUCUUGUUGGGGUAAAAAUGGAGCAUGGAGUAAACUAAGAGAUGAGCUAUAUUUGGCAAGGAAGGUGGCCUCACUUUGCUUUUGCCAGAUCUAGUUUGCAUCUUAGGAUAAGAGCAUCAUGUUAAUAGCGAACGUAACAAGCUGCACCAUCAAUUUGGACAAGGUAUGCAUACACAAGAUCAGAGAGGGAGUUAGUAGAGAAAGCGCAUAAACAAGAUCACGACCAACAACAAGCAGAAGUUGGCCAAAACAGCAUCACUCUCCGAACGAGACUCCAAAGAGGGCACGCUUGUAUGCUCUGCUGCCAAGUGCCAACUUGAUCGGGUUUUUGUACCCGCUGAGUCAGACAAGGUGAACAACUAGGUGGUGGUAGAAGAACAUCGACCAGGGAAAAUAUUUGGCAUGCAUCACUGAAGUUGCUCUGUAGCGGUGUACUGUUCCAGGCAACACGGCGCUACUACACAAAGUUGGCAGUUUGCCACAUACAAGAACUGUCCAGCAACAUAUCACUUAAUCAAAUGAAUUACAAUUCACAUGACGGCGAACUGCAUUGUUACUUUGUGCAGAAGCCCAUCAAAGUUUCGACAUAAACACGGGCGCCGUUGAAUUUUGAGGCGGCGAACUCCCUCUACUAGCAAGCCCCUGCAACGAAAAAUUGAUGACGCAGUGAGGACCUCGAUGUGUGCCAUACAUCUUCAGAAACGGCACAUCAGGAAUGCGUGUUUGAUCAAAUUAGUAGCAGGGAUUUCACCGCUUCAUAGAGGUAUUCUUGCACAGGGGUGAACUUCAUGCCAAGGUCCUUCAGAGGCUGGUUGGUGUACUUGUAACCCUUCUUUGGCGGAUUUACCUCGUCCUUACAUCUGUACAGGCGAAGCAAAGCCAUCGCUUUCGUUUUACGAAAGUUACAGGUAACUACCAACAACUUGUGGUCUAUCAAGGGAACAAUUGCAAGCAAGAUUGUGUAAAAACAUUAGCACAUUCGUGGAAUGAUUCUAUCAACGGCACAAUUGCAAGCAAGAUUGUGUAAAAACAUUAGCACAUUCGUGGAAAGAUUCUAUCAACGGAGCAAUUGCAAGCAAGAUUGUGUAAAAACAUUAGCACAGUCAUGGAAAGAUCUAUUCUUAAUUCA